Molecule: long non-coding RNA, 1130 nt
Filed under: Homo sapiens (human)
Lineage: Eukaryota; Metazoa; Chordata; Mammalia; Primates; Hominidae
Description: p53 upregulated regulator of p53 levels
Source: RNAcentral
CUCUUGAGCUCUUGUGGUGACCUGGGAAUCAAUGUGUGAGGUGGUGCUAUGUAGCAGGAACCCCUCUUGCUUUGCAAAUAGUUUUUUGUUUGUUUUCCUUUUUGCCCAAUAGAGCCCUGCUCUACUGACCCUUCAAUGUGCCCGUGUGCCUAAAUAUUCCUGGUCGUGUGAAAAGAACCCAGGUAUUAGCUGAACUAAGGAGCACAAUUCUGCAACAUUUUGGCACCCAAACACGGGGCUUGAGAAAUGAAUGCAAUUGGAGAAACUGGUUGUUUUACCAGGCGUUGAUUGGAAAUGUGUGCUUCCCUUUAAGCAGUCAAGCUCAACUUGCAGAACUGAUGGGAACCCCUUGGGAAAACUGGCCUCAAAUGUUUGUCUACACAGUCCACAUACAGGGUUCUUAACCUGCGAUGAGGGAAACUUCCCAGGGCUUGUCUGGGUAUGCCCACAGUGGACUGGAGCCCAAAAUGCACACUGGAGGAAGUGGAUGGAGCCACGUGGAUGUCAUGCCUUAUGCAGGGGAGGAGCCUGCUCUCUUCAGCUCCUGUGGUAAUGUGGGAAUCGAUCUGUGAGCAUAUUUAACUAUCCGGCUAUUUUGGAGAUUGAAAAAAGAAGACCUGAUUUAUCAUGUGCAAUAUCUCACACAUCUGUCAUUUCUAUUCUACCGCAAUUCGAUGGAGUCUUGUUCUGUGGUCCAGGCUAGAGGGCAGUGGCAUGAUCUCGGCUCACUACAAGCUCUGCCUCCCGGGUUCACGCCAUUCUCCUGCCUCAGCCUCCUGAGUAGCUGGGACUACAGGCGCCCGCCACCACGCCUGGCUAAUUUUUUGUAUAUUUACUAGAGAUGGCUAGUGUUAGCCAAGAUGGUCUCGAUCUCCUGACCUCGUGAUCUGCCCACCUCAGCCUGCCAAAGUGCUGGGAUUACUGGCGUGAGCCACCGUGCCUGGCCAGCAUCCUCUAAUUAUUAUUCAUAGUUUGUGAAUUUAGGCCUACGUGAAUAAUAAUAUAAUAUUUACUAUGAUGUUACUAUCUACCAACCUUAUUUUUCUUUUCUAUAAAAUAGGAGCCAAAAUAAUAUUUAUGUCAUACCUUAUGAAGUUAAAAUAAAAUAUAACGAAUGAGGGGCUUAACAA